AUACGUAGGGGGCGAGCGUUGUCCGGAAUGAUUGGGCGUAAAGGGCGCGUAGGCGGCCUGUUAAGUCUGGAGUGAAAGUCCUGUUUUCAAGAUGGGAAUUGCUUUGGAUACUGAUGGGCUUGAGUGCAGGAGAGGUUAUCGGAAUUCCCGGUGUAGCGGUGAAAUGCGUAGAGAUCGGGAGGAACACCAGUGGCGAAGGCGGGUAACUGGACUGCAACUGACGCUGAGGCGCGAAAGUGUGGGGAGCAAACAGGAUUAGGUACCCUGGUAGUCCACACUGUAAACGAUGAAUGCUAGGUGUAAGAGGUAUCGACCCCUUUUGUGCCGGAGUUAACACAAUAAGUACCCCGCCUGGGGAGUACGGUCGCAAGACUAAAACUCAAAGGAAUUGACGGGG
RNAcentral lists this ribosomal RNA (397 nucleotides) under uncultured bacterium. Its description in RNAcentral is "partial 16S ribosomal RNA". It matches the Rfam family "Bacterial small subunit ribosomal RNA", at positions 523 to 918 of the family's 1533-position model. The record is from RNAcentral.